This 71-nucleotide transfer RNA is filed under the name Ovis aries (sheep). It matches the Rfam family "tRNA". From Rfam's summary of the family: Transfer RNA (tRNA) molecules are approximately 80 nucleotides in length. Their secondary structure includes four short double-helical elements and three loops (D, anti-codon, and T loops). Further hydrogen bonds mediate the characteristic L-shaped molecular structure. tRNAs have two regions of fundamental functional importance: the anti-codon, which is responsible for specific mRNA codon recognition, and the 3' end, to which the tRNAs corresponding amino acid is attached (by aminoacyl-tRNA synthetases). tRNAs cope with the degeneracy of the genetic code in two manners: having more than one tRNA (with a specific anti-codon) for a particular amino acid; and 'wobble' base-pairing, i.e. permitting non-standard base-pairing at the 3rd anti-codon position. The record is from Rfam by way of RNAcentral. Lineage: Eukaryota; Metazoa; Chordata; Mammalia; Artiodactyla; Bovidae.
UCCCUGAUGGCUCAGUGGUAAAGAAUCUGCCUGCAAUGCAGGAGACUGAGGUUCGAUUCCUGGGUUGGGAA